RNAcentral lists this ribosomal RNA (370 nucleotides) under 2,4-D-degrading bacterium 007. RNAcentral's name for it is "bacterial SSU rRNA". It matches the Rfam family "Bacterial small subunit ribosomal RNA", at positions 76 to 446 of the family's 1533-position model. Lineage: Bacteria; Pseudomonadati; Pseudomonadota; Betaproteobacteria; Burkholderiales. The record is from RNAcentral.
GGGGCAACCCUGGUGGCGAGUGGCGAACGGGUGAGUAAUAACAUCGGAACGUGUCCUGUAGUGGGGGAUAGCCCGGCGAAAGCCGGAUUAAUACCGCAUACGCUCUGCGGAGGAAAGCGGGGGAUCCUUCGGGACCUCGCGCUACAGGGGCGGCCGAUGGCAGAUUAGCUAGUUGGUGGGGUAAAGGCCUACCAAGGCGACGAUCUGUAGCUGGUCUGAGAGGANGACCAGCCACACUGGGACUGAGACACGGCCCAGACUCCUACGGGAGGCAGCAGUGGGGAAUUUUGGACAAUGGGCGCAAGCCUGAUCCAGCAAUGCCGCGUGUGUGAAGAAGGCCUUCGGGUUGUAAAGCACUUUUGUCUUGAAA